UGAGAAUCGGCACCUGAUGUGGAAGGCAAAUUUGAGCAGAAUUCUUAUGCCCCGUGCCAACAUUCAGUUUGACCCCGGGGGCAGUAUAACAGUAUGCAGGUAUAGAAGUCUGUGGAGUGGAUUCUUGGCAAAAGGCAUUCCGAAGGGCACUUGAAAAAUGUACCAGGCACGUAACACCACUGCAUUCUUCCAAACCUUCCACUUAAGUUGCACAUUCAGUACAUAUUUUCAGAUGUACGAUAAGCGCCACUGGAGUCUUUGUGGGUAGGAGCAGAAACAAAAGUUUUAACGUUUCCCCCUCAAAUCCGGAUCAUAUUGCCGUUUUUACGAGAAACAACAAAACAACUGUUACUUUUUCAGAGAUCUCUGAGCCCACAGACACGUUGUCUGACAAUGUUUCAGAGACGCAUGAAAGAAAUAAAAAAUAAUGGUGUAAAUGCACCCAUCUGUGGUCUGAACAACAUGGGAAAACAGCUAGGAUUUCUCUUUAUUUGUGGGCAAACCCAAAACAGAUUAUUGGCCACCUUGGACGCAGUUCUUCAUGCCUGUCACCACCUUAUUGUAGAGCCGUUUUGGCAGUAAAUUCUGAUUAAAUUUCAGAGAAUGCUCAGA
Molecule: long non-coding RNA, 612 nt
Organism: Anguilla anguilla (European eel)
Lineage: Eukaryota; Metazoa; Chordata; Actinopteri; Anguilliformes; Anguillidae
Exons: 2
Source: RefSeq, a predicted model, not a curated record